RNAcentral lists this ribosomal RNA (1540 nucleotides) under Staphylococcus aureus. Its description in RNAcentral is "16S ribosomal RNA". It matches the Rfam family "Bacterial small subunit ribosomal RNA". The record is from RNAcentral. Lineage: Bacteria; Bacillati; Bacillota; Bacilli; Caryophanales; Staphylococcaceae. RNAcentral also lists the same sequence under 5 other names.
AGAGUUUGAUCCUGGCUCAGGAUGAACGCUGGCGGCGUGCCUAAUACAUGCAAGUCGAGCGAACGGACGAGAAGUUUGCUUCUCUGAUGUUAGCGGCGGACGGGUGAGUAACACGUGGAUAACCUACCUAUAAGACUGGGAUAACUUCGGGAAACCGGAGCUAAUACCGGAUAAUAUUUUGAACCGCAUGGUUCAAAAGUGAAAGACGGUCUUGCUGUCACUUAUAGAUGGAUCCGCGCUGCAUUAGCUAGUUGGUAAGGUAACGGCUUACCAAGGCAACGAUGCAUAGCCGACCUGAGAGGGUGAUCGGCCACACUGGAACUGAGACACGGUCCAGACUCCUACGGGAGGCAGCAGUAGGGAAUCUUCCGCAAUGGGCGAAAGCCUGACGGAGCAACGCCGCGUGAGUGAUGAAGGUCUUCGGAUCGUAAAACUCUGUUAUUAGGGAAGAACAUAUGUGUAAGUAACUGUGCACAUCUUGACGGUACCUAAUCAGAAAGCCACGGCUAACUACGUGCCAGCAGCCGCGGUAAUACGUAGGUGGCAAGCGUUAUCCGGAAUUAUUGGGCGUAAAGCGCGCGUAGGCGGUUUUUUAAGUCUGAUGUGAAAGCCCACGGCUCAACCGUGGAGGGUCAUUGGAAACUGGAAAACUUGAGUGCAGAAGAGGAAAGUGGAAUUCCAUGUGUAGCGGUGAAAUGCGCAGAGAUAUGGAGGAACACCAGUGGCGAAGGCGACUUUCUGGUCUGUAACUGACGCUGAUGUGCGAAAGCGUGGGGAUCAAACAGGAUUAGAUACCCUGGUAGUCCACGCCGUAAACGAUGAGUGCUAAGUGUUAGGGGGUUUCCGCCCCUUAGUGCUGCAGCUAACGCAUUAAGCACUCCGCCUGGGGAGUACGACCGCAAGGUUGAAACUCAAAGGAAUUGACGGGGACCCGCACAAGCGGUGGAGCAUGUGGUUUAAUUCGAAGCAACGCGAAGAACCUUACCAAAUCUUGACAUCCUUUGACAACUCUAGAGAUAGAGCCUUCCCCUUCGGGGGACAAAGUGACAGGUGGUGCAUGGUUGUCGUCAGCUCGUGUCGUGAGAUGUUGGGUUAAGUCCCGCAACGAGCGCAACCCUUAAGCUUAGUUGCCAUCAUUAAGUUGGGCACUCUAAGUUGACUGCCGGUGACAAACCGGAGGAAGGUGGGGAUGACGUCAAAUCAUCAUGCCCCUUAUGAUUUGGGCUACACACGUGCUACAAUGGACAAUACAAAGGGCAGCGAAACCGCGAGGUCAAGCAAAUCCCAUAAAGUUGUUCUCAGUUCGGAUUGUAGUCUGCAACUCGACUACAUGAAGCUGGAAUCGCUAGUAAUCGUAGAUCAGCAUGCUACGGUGAAUACGUUCCCGGGUCUUGUACACACCGCCCGUCACACCACGAGAGUUUGUAACACCCGAAGCCGGUGGAGUAACCUUUUAGGAGCUAGCCGUCGAAGGUGGGACAAAUGAUUGGGGUGAAGUCGUAACAAGGUAGCCGUAUCGGAAGGUGCGGCUGGAUCACCU